GGUGGAUGCCUUGGCAGUCAGAGGCGAUGAAAGACGUAGUAACUUGCGAUAAGCCCAGAUUAGGUAGUAACAACCAUUUGAGUCUGGGAUUUCCGAAUGGGGAAACCCACUUACAUAAGUAAGUAUCGCUGCGUGAAUACAUAGCGCAGCGAGGCGAACCGGGGGAACUGAAACAUCUAAGUACCCCGAGGAAAAGAAAUCAACCGAGAUUCCGAAAGUAGCGGCGAGCGAAAUUGGACUAGCCCUUAAGCUUUACACGCGUUAGA
This 266-nucleotide ribosomal RNA is filed under the name Vibrio parahaemolyticus. Its description in RNAcentral is "partial 23S ribosomal RNA". It matches the Rfam family "Bacterial large subunit ribosomal RNA", at positions 23 to 292 of the family's 2925-position model. Lineage: Bacteria; Pseudomonadati; Pseudomonadota; Gammaproteobacteria; Vibrionales; Vibrionaceae. The record is from RNAcentral.